UACGGGGGGAGCAAACGUUGUUCGGAAUCACUGGGCGUAAAGGGCGUGUAGGCGGCUGGAUAAGUGGGAUGUUAAAUCCCCCGGCUCAACCGGGGACCUGCAUCUCAUACUGUUCAGCUCGAGCACAUCAGAGGAGACUGGAAUUCCCGGUGUAGCGGUGAAAUGUGUAGAGAUCGGGAGGAACACCGGUGGCGAAGGCGGCCUUCUGGACGGUGACUGACGCUGAGGCGCGAAAGCGUGGGGAGCAAACGGG
Molecule: ribosomal RNA, 253 nt
Filed under: uncultured bacterium
Lineage: Bacteria
Description: partial 16S ribosomal RNA
Rfam family: Bacterial small subunit ribosomal RNA
Source: RNAcentral